RNAcentral lists this ribosomal RNA (443 nucleotides) under uncultured bacterium. Its description in RNAcentral is "bacterial SSU rRNA". It matches the Rfam family "Bacterial small subunit ribosomal RNA", at positions 29 to 526 of the family's 1533-position model. The record is from RNAcentral.
AACGAACGCUGGCGGCAGGCUUAACACAUGCAAGUCGAACGAUAUAGUGGCAGACGGGUGAGUAACGCGUGGAAACGUGCCUUUCACUACGGAAUAGCUUUUGGAAACGAAAGGUAAUACCGUAUACGCCCUCCGGGGGAAAGAUUUAUCGGUGAAAGAUCGGUCCGCGUUAGAUUAGCUAGUUGGUGAGGUAACGGCUCACCAAGGCUACGAUCUAUAGCUGGUCUGAGAGGAUGAUCAGCCACACUGGAACUGAGACACGGUCCAGACUCCUACGGGAGGCAGCAGUGGGGAAUAUUGCACAAUGGGCGCAAGCCUGAUGCAGCCAUGCCGCGUGAAUGAUGAAGGCCUUAGGGUUGUAAAAUUCUUUCGCCAGGGAUGAUAAUGACAGUACCUGGUAAAGAAGCCCCGGCUAACUUCGUGCCAGCGCCGCCGCGUAACAC